RNAcentral lists this unclassified non-coding RNA (237 nucleotides) under Hevea brasiliensis (rubber tree). Lineage: Eukaryota; Viridiplantae; Streptophyta; Magnoliopsida; Malpighiales; Euphorbiaceae. The record is from RNAcentral.
GCACUGUGCAUCUUCCACAGAACUAAAUGCGUCACGGCUGAACUUCAUUGUGGGAAUAGCAGAAACAAGCACUGGUUGAAGGCCACUAAUCCGAUGUUCUGGCUGUUCAAGGUCAAUCCUGGNNACAUUUGCCUGGAUUCGGACGCUCGAAGCCUCCCACAUAUUAUUCUUGUGCAAACAAAAACAAUAAAAGUGGCACUCAUCCCAAACCCAAUAAUAGUAGUGAUCAAAUUCAUC